AGAGUUUGAUCAUGGCUCAGAUUGAACGCUGGCGGCAGGCCUAACACAUGCAAGUCGAGCGGUAGCACAGAGAGCUUGCUCUCGGGUGACGAGCGGCGGACGGGUGAGUAAUGUCUGGGAAACUGCCUGAUGGAGGGGGAUAACUACUGGAAACGGUAGCUAAUACCGCAUAAUGUCGCAAGACCAAAGUGGGGGACCUUCGGGCCUCAUGCCAUCAGAUGUGCCCAGAUGGGAUUAGCUAGUAGGUGGGGUAACGGCUCACCUAGGCGACGAUCCCUAGCUGGUCUGAGAGGAUGACCAGCCACACUGGAACUGAGACACGGUCCAGACUCCUACGGGAGGCAGCAGUGGGGAAUAUUGCACAAUGGGCGCAAGCCUGAUGCAGCCAUGCCGCGUGUGUGAAGAAGGCCUUCGGGUUGUAAAGCACUUUCAGCGGGGAGGAAGGCGAUAAGGUUAAUAACCUUGGCGAUUGACGUUACCCGCAGAAGAAGCACCGGCUAACUCCGUGCCAGCAGCCGCGGUAAUACGGAGGGUGCAAGCGUUAAUCGGAAUUACUGGGCGUAAAGCGCACGCAGGCGGUCUGUCAAGUCGGAUGUGAAAUCCCCGGGCUCAACCUGGGAACUGCAUUCGAAACUGGCAGGCUAGAGUCUUGUAGAGGGGGGUAGAAUUCCAGGUGUAGCGGUGAAAUGCGUAGAGAUCUGGAGGAAUACCGGUGGCGAAGGCGGCCCCCUGGACAAAGACUGACGCUCAGGUGCGAAAGCGUGGGGAGCAAACAGGAUUAGAUACCCUGGUAGUCCACGCCGUAAACGAUGUCGAUUUGGAGGUUGUGCCCUUGAGGCGUGGCUUCCGGAGCUAACGCGUUAAAUCGACCGCCUGGGGAGUACGGCCGCAAGGUUAAAACUCAAAUGAAUUGACGGGGGCCCGCACAAGCGGUGGAGCAUGUGGUUUAAUUCGAUGCAACGCGAAGAACCUUACCUGGUCUUGACAUCCACAGAACUUUCCAGAGAUGGAUUGGUGCCUUCGGGAACUGUGAGACAGGUGCUGCAUGGCUGUCGUCAGCUCGUGUUGUGAAAUGUUGGGUUAAGUCCCGCAACGAGCGCAACCCUUAUCCUUUGUUGCCAGCGGUUCGGCCGGGAACUCAAAGGAGACUGCCAGUGAUAAACUGGAGGAAGGUGGGGAUGACGUCAAGUCAUCAUGGCCCUUACGACCAGGGCUACACACGUGCUACAAUGGCAUAUACAAAGAGAAGCGACCUCGCGAGAGCAAGCGGACCUCAUAAAGUAUGUCGUAGUCCGGAUUGGAGUCUGCAACUCGACUCCAUGAAGUCGGAAUCGCUAGUAAUCGUAGAUCAGAAUGCUACGGUGAAUACGUUCCCGGGCCUUGUACACACCGCCCGUCACACCAUGGGAGUGGGUUGCAAAAGAAGUAGGUAGCUUAACCUUCGGGAGGGCGCUUACCACUUUGUGAUUCAUGACUGGGGUGAAGUCGUAACAAGGUAACCGUAGGGGAACCUGCGGUUG
RNAcentral lists this ribosomal RNA (1520 nucleotides) under Klebsiella pneumoniae. Its description in RNAcentral is "bacterial SSU rRNA". It matches the Rfam family "Bacterial small subunit ribosomal RNA". RNAcentral also lists the same sequence under 2 other names. Lineage: Bacteria; Pseudomonadati; Pseudomonadota; Gammaproteobacteria; Enterobacterales; Enterobacteriaceae. The record is from RNAcentral.